RNAcentral lists this transfer RNA (74 nucleotides) under Podarcis lilfordi (Lilford's wall lizard). Its description in RNAcentral is "tRNA.Lys". The stretch from base 8 to 71 matches the Rfam family "tRNA". Rfam says of the family: Transfer RNA (tRNA) molecules are approximately 80 nucleotides in length. Their secondary structure includes four short double-helical elements and three loops (D, anti-codon, and T loops). Lineage: Eukaryota; Metazoa; Chordata; Lepidosauria; Squamata; Lacertidae. The record is from RNAcentral.
UUAGAUAGCUCAGUUGGCAGAACGUGAGACUCUUAAACUCAGGGUUGUGGCUUCAAGUCCCACAUUGGGCAAAA